CCUACGGGUGGCAGCAGUGGGGAACAUUGGACAAUGGGGGGAACCCUGAUCCAGCCAUGCCGCGUGUGUGAAGAAGGCCCUCGGGUUGUAAAGCACUUUCAGUGAGGAAGAACGCCUGGUGGUUAAUACCCAUCAGGAAAGACAUCACUCUCAGAAGAAGCACCGGCUAACUCCGUGCCAGCAGCCGCGGUAAUACGGAGGGUGCGAGCGUUAAUCGGAAUUACUGGGCGUAAAGCGCGCGUAGGUGGCUUGAUAAGCCGGUUGUGAAAGCCCCGGGCUCAACCUGGGAACGGCAUCCGGAACUGUCAAGCUAGAGUGCAGGAGAGGAAGGUAGAAUUCCCGGUGUAGCGGUGAAAUGCGUAGAGAUCGGGAGGAAUACCAGUGGCGAAGGCGGCCUUCUGGACUGACACUGACACUGAGGUGCGAAAGCGUGGGUAGCAAACAGGAUUAGAUACCCCGGUAGUC
RNAcentral lists this ribosomal RNA (465 nucleotides) under Vreelandella stevensii. RNAcentral describes it as "partial 16S ribosomal RNA". It matches the Rfam family "Bacterial small subunit ribosomal RNA", at positions 338 to 795 of the family's 1533-position model. Lineage: Bacteria; Pseudomonadati; Pseudomonadota; Gammaproteobacteria; Oceanospirillales; Halomonadaceae. The record is from RNAcentral.